UCGGGAUCCAAAAUAGUCAAAACAACAGCUAUAACCAGCCCUCUACCACACCUACUCAAAAGAAAGUGGAGAGAUUUGGUGAGAAGGAUGGAUUAGAGUUUGACAAGAAAGAGAUUGAAAUCCAUACCAAUCAAUAGAAACAAAAAAUAGAGUAAAAAAAGGGGGAUAAAAAAAUGAAACAUUGAAACACGUCUUUCCUUAGUCAUGGGUACUCCCCACACCCCAAUUUUCAAAGAUUUUACAUCUUCACAAUCAAGCAAGUAUUUAAUCAUACCAUUG
RNAcentral lists this long non-coding RNA (279 nucleotides) under Arachis ipaensis. RNAcentral's name for it is "long non-coding RNA (AIPA_LNC001279)". The record is from RNAcentral. Lineage: Eukaryota; Viridiplantae; Streptophyta; Magnoliopsida; Fabales; Fabaceae.